RNAcentral lists this transfer RNA (90 nucleotides) under Actinomycetota bacterium. Its description in RNAcentral is "tRNA-Ser". It matches the Rfam family "tRNA". From Rfam's summary of the family: Transfer RNA (tRNA) molecules are approximately 80 nucleotides in length. Their secondary structure includes four short double-helical elements and three loops (D, anti-codon, and T loops). Lineage: Bacteria; Bacillati; Actinomycetota. RNAcentral also lists the same sequence under 1 other name. The record is from RNAcentral.
GGAGGGGUGCGAGAGUGGUUGAAUCGGGCGGUCUCGAAAACCGUUGUAGGGGCAACCCCCCUACCGUGGGUUCGAAUCCCACCCCCUCCG